Molecule: long non-coding RNA, 304 nt
Filed under: Mytilus galloprovincialis (Mediterranean mussel)
Lineage: Eukaryota; Metazoa; Mollusca; Bivalvia; Mytilida; Mytilidae
Source: RNAcentral
GCCCCUCAAAAAAGAAUCCUUCUUUAGAGAUUAAUUGAUCAAAAUCUAAAGGGAAGAAAUUAUUAUUUUUUCAAUUGUCUUUCAUUUUCCACCGACGGUCAAAUUGCUAUGUCAAAGGAAUUUAAAUUUGUGCAUUUCUUCGUAGUAAGGUUUUAAGGUCUCCCCCUACCAAUGCAAUUUUAAAUUAGUAUGGGUCAAACAUGAAAUUUCUUCAUCUUAAUUCACUUUUAAAUUUCAACCAAUUUACAAUAUUUGACAUAAGCAGUUACAAAAUUAGGUAAGCAAUACCAUUAGGAAGAAAAAU